GGGAAGAAAGCAUACAUGCGGUUAACUUGAAAUUAAUAGAUGGCAGGUUUAGUUCUGCCUUUUCUCG
RNAcentral lists this transfer RNA (67 nucleotides) under Hebius optatus (Mount Omei keelback). Its description in RNAcentral is "Hebius optatum (Mount Omei keelback) tRNA-Ser". The record is from RNAcentral. Lineage: Eukaryota; Metazoa; Chordata; Lepidosauria; Squamata; Natricidae. RNAcentral also lists the same sequence under 2 other names.